This 45-nucleotide small RNA is filed under the name Terriglobus roseus DSM 18391. RNAcentral's name for it is "Acido-Lenti-1 RNA". It matches the Rfam family "Acido-Lenti-1 RNA". Lineage: Bacteria; Pseudomonadati; Acidobacteriota; Terriglobia; Terriglobales; Acidobacteriaceae. The record is from Rfam by way of RNAcentral.
CCCAGGGCUUUGCCCUGGGCUAGGAUAGCUCGCGCCUUCAGCGCG